This 253-nucleotide ribosomal RNA is filed under the name uncultured bacterium. RNAcentral describes it as "partial 16S ribosomal RNA". It matches the Rfam family "Bacterial small subunit ribosomal RNA", at positions 524 to 776 of the family's 1533-position model. The record is from RNAcentral.
UACGUAGGGUGCGAGCGUUGUCCGGAAUUAUUGGGCGUAAAGGGCUCGUAGGCGGUUUGUCGCGUCGGGAGUGAAAACUCAGGGCUUAACCCUGAGCCUGCUUCCGAUACGGGCAGACUAGAGGUAUGCAGGGGAGAACGGAAUUCCUGGUGUAGCGGUGAAAUGCGCAGAUAUCAGGAGGAACACCGGUGGCGAAGGCGGUUCUCUGGACAUUACCUGACGCUGAGGAGCGAAAGUGUGGGGAGCGAACAGG